CCUACGAGUGGCAGCAGUAGGGAAUCUUCCACAAUGGGCGCAAGCCUGAUGGAGCAACGCCGCGUGGGUGAAGAAGGUCUUCGGAUCGUAAAACCCUGUUGUUAGAGAAGAAAGUGCGUGAGAGUAACUGUUUACGUUUCGACGGUAUCUACCCAGAAAGCCCCGGCUUACUACGUGCCAGCCGCCGCGGUAAUACGUAGGUGGCAAGCGUUAUCCGGAUUUAUUGGGCGUAAAGGGAACGCAGGCGGUCUUUUAAGUCUGAUGUGAAAGCCUUCGGCUUAACCGGAGUAGUGCAUUGGAGACGGGGAAACUUGAGUGCAGAAGAGGAGAGUGGAACUCCAUGUGUAGCGGUGAAAUGCGUAGAUAUAUGGAAGAACACCAGUGGCGAAAGCGGCUCUCUGGUCUGUAACUGACGCUGAGGUGCGAAAGCGUGGGUAGCAAACAGGAUUAGAUACCCUUGUAGUC
RNAcentral lists this ribosomal RNA (465 nucleotides) under uncultured bacterium. RNAcentral's name for it is "partial 16S ribosomal RNA". It matches the Rfam family "Bacterial small subunit ribosomal RNA", at positions 338 to 795 of the family's 1533-position model. The record is from RNAcentral.